ACACUACCCAUCUCUGGAAAUAACUGCAAAAUAUUUAUUCUAUCACUGAAAUGACAACAGCCUGCUAGAUACCUUUCUCUCUAUAAGGACUGUUCAUUAAAACGCUAAAGCCAGUGAGAUAAAAGAAGUCAAAGAACAGUUGCCCAUUUCUACAAUCACUAUUAAUUAACUAACUACUUACAUCAGAACACAGGCAGAGUCAUUUCGCCUAACCUAAGUUCCUAUCCUCCAGUACAAAUUUCUUCCCUUUCACUAGAAUGUACCUUUAGUUUCUUACAAACUUUCCUUUAUUUCCUCAAAUUACUCCUUCUUCCUUUUAGUCCUUUAUUCCCAAAUAAAUUUACCAAGUUCUUACAGAUUCUUUUCCUUAUAAGGUAUACAUCCCUAUGGCUGAAUUUGAAUGACAGCCUCUCUCAGGCCAGGACAGGAUGACAAGGUGAGCUACAGGGAAACUGCAGUGAAGUUUGGCUCCAAGCAUGACACAGACAUGGGCUGACCUUGAAGAAAAAAAAGACUAAACACUACCUACGCUCAAUGUUCCACACCUCUUAAGCCAGUAAUCCUGUAUCUGGUGUCUGGCAGCAAAGAAAAUAAAAUAUACCUCAUCUGUGCUCCAUUUGGAGACUUUACUGGCAGGGAUUCCAGCGACAGUUGGAAGAAGUUUGCUUUGCUGCUCCCAGCGCAAGGGCAGACAUGGAAUUGGGGACUUAAAGGACAGAAAGACAGCUGACCGACGCUGUGCCUGCUGGACGGUGGGUUCUUCCCGGGCACCUGGUCAAUGAAAACAAAUGGGAAAUCACUCUCUGAAAGCAG
This 813-nucleotide non-coding RNA is filed under the name Pongo abelii (Sumatran orangutan). Lineage: Eukaryota; Metazoa; Chordata; Mammalia; Primates; Hominidae. The record is from RNAcentral.